Neomonachus schauinslandi (Hawaiian monk seal) is the source of this 360-nucleotide long non-coding RNA. RefSeq lists it as uncharacterized. The transcript is spliced from 3 exons. Lineage: Eukaryota; Metazoa; Chordata; Mammalia; Carnivora; Phocidae. The record is from RefSeq and is a predicted model, not a curated record.
AAAGAAAAUGCCUUCAGAAUGGCUGGUUGCAAAUCCUCAGUGAAAAAAGGAAAGGAAGAUUUGGUGGCAGCGCUGAGAUCUGAAGCAAACAUCUAUUGGCUUUUGGGGACAAUGAGAAACACAGGUGUGGCACCCCGCAAAUGCUGAGAGUUCACUUUCUUGUCAUUUGAGGGCCUUUGCUAGAAGAACCCUGAAGGGCAGAGGACAUUCUUUCUUCCUGACAGUUGGCAUAAACAGCAGGAUGCUUUAAACUCACUGGAUACCACUCUCCCCCGGCACUGCUGCAGCAGAGAGAUCCUUGGGAAAUCUGACAUAUAGCCAGCAGAGGGUAAGAUUUCUUAUCAUGUGUAUCUCCUGGAA